Molecule: ribosomal RNA, 918 nt
Filed under: uncultured Bacteroidota bacterium
Lineage: Bacteria; Pseudomonadati; Bacteroidota
Description: bacterial SSU rRNA
Rfam family: Bacterial small subunit ribosomal RNA
Source: RNAcentral
GGAUCCAGACUUUGAUUAUGGCUCAGGAUGAACGCUAGCUACAGGCUUAACACAUGCAAGUCGAGGGGCAGCAUGACGAUAGCUUGCUAUUGUUGAUGGCGACCGGCGCACGGGUGAAUAACGCGUAUCCAACCUGCCCUUGUCCAUCGGAUAACCCGUCGAAAGGCGGCCUAACACGAUAUGCAGUUCUCAGCAGGCAUCUAACGAGAACGAAAUGUGAAGGAGAAGGAUGGGGAUGCGUCUGAUUAGCUUGUUGGCGGGGUAACGGCCCACCAAGGCGACGAUCAGUAGGGGUUCUGAGAGGAAGGUCCCCCACAUUGGAACUGAGACACGGUCCAAACUCCUACGGGAGGCAGCAGUGAGGAAUAUUGGUCAAUGGGCGAGAGCCUGAACCAGCCAAGUAGCGUGCAGGAUGACGGCCCUAUGGGUUGUAAACUGCUUUUAUGCGGGGAUAAAGUGAGCCACGUGUGGCUUAUUGCAGGUACCGCAUGAAUAAGGACCGGCUAAUUCCGUGCCAGCAGCCGCGGUAAUACGGAAGGUCCGGGCGUUAUCCGGAUUUAUUGGGUUUAAAGGGAGCGUAGGCCGUCUGAUAAGCGUGUUGUGAAAUGUCGGGGCUCAACCUGGGCAUUGCAGCGCGAACUGUGAGACUUGAGUGCGCGGGAAGUAGGCGGAAUUCGUCGUGUAGCGGUGAAAUGCUUAGAUAUGACGAAGAACUCCGAUUGCGAAGGCAGCCUGCUGUAGCGCAACUGACGCUGAAGCUCGAAAGCGUGGGUAUCGAACAGGAUUAGAUACCCUGGUAGUCCACGCGGUAAACGAUGGAUGCUCGCUGUUUGCGUCUGACGUAAGCGGCCAAGCGAAAGCGUUAAGCAUCCCACCUGGGGAGUACGCCGGCAACGGUGCAACUCGAAUGAAUUGACG